UGGAGUUGGUCAGGGUUUGCGCUCAGCCAACUUGUCCCGCCGUAAGGCAGAUUUUUCGGAGUUUUUAUCAUGGCAUUGUCCGUAGAACAAAAAGCACAAAUCGUUAAAGAUUUCCAACGCAAAGAA
Neisseria shayeganii 871 is the source of this 126-nucleotide regulatory RNA element. It matches the Rfam family "Ribosomal S15 leader". Rfam says of the family: The E. coli Ribosomal S15 gene 5' UTR can form two alternative structures. NCBI's taxonomy places the organism in Bacteria, Pseudomonadati, Pseudomonadota, Betaproteobacteria, Neisseriales, Neisseriaceae. The record is from Rfam.